GACGAACGCUGGCGGCGUGCUUAACACAUGCAAGUCGAGCGGUAAGGCCUUUCGGGGUACACGAGCGGCGAACGGGUGAGUAACACGUGGGUGAUCUGCCCUGCACUUCGGGAUAAGCCUGGGAAACUGGGUCUAAUACCGGAUAUGACCUCCUAUCGCAUGGUGGGUGGUGGAAAGAUUUAUCGGUGCAGGAUGGGCCCGCGGCCUAUCAGCUUGUUGGUGGGGUAAUGGCCUACCAAGGCGACGACGGGUAGCCGACCUGAGAGGGUGACCGGCCACACUGGGACUGAGACACGGCCCAGACUCCUACGGUAGGCAGCAGUGGGGAAUAUUGCACAAUGGGCGAAAGCCUGAUGCAGCGACGCCGCGUGAGGGAUGACGGCCUUCGGGUUGUAAACCUCUUUCAGCAGGGACGAAGCGCAAGUGACGGUACCUGCAGAAGAAGCACCGGCUAACUACGUG
Molecule: ribosomal RNA, 462 nt
Filed under: uncultured bacterium
Lineage: Bacteria
Description: partial 16S ribosomal RNA
Rfam family: Bacterial small subunit ribosomal RNA
Source: RNAcentral